RNAcentral lists this ribosomal RNA (383 nucleotides) under uncultured eukaryote. RNAcentral's name for it is "partial 18S ribosomal RNA". It matches the Rfam family "Eukaryotic small subunit ribosomal RNA", at positions 592 to 976 of the family's 1831-position model. The record is from RNAcentral.
CAAUAGCGUAUAUUAAAGUUGUUGCAGUUAAAAGGCUCGUAGUUGGAUUUCUGGUGGGAGCGAUCGGUCUGGCGCUUAGCGCGAGUACUUGCAUCGUCUCCGGCCAUCCUUGGGGAGAGUCUGUCUGGCAUUAGGUUGUCGGGCAGAGGAUCCUCAUCGUUUACUGUGAAAAAAUUAGAGUGUUCAAAGCAGGCUUAUGCCGUUGAAUAUAUUAGCAUGGAAUAAUAAGAUAGGACUUUGGUACUAUUUUGUUGGUUUGCGCACCAAAGUAAUGAUUAAUAGGGACAGUUGGGGGUAUUCGUAUUCCGUUGUCAGAGGUGAAAUUCUUGGAUUUACGGAAGACGAACUACUGCGAAAGCAUUUACCAAGGAUGUUUUCAUUAA